RNAcentral lists this ribosomal RNA (287 nucleotides) under Paraclisis diomedeae. Its description in RNAcentral is "partial 12S ribosomal RNA". The record is from RNAcentral. Lineage: Eukaryota; Metazoa; Arthropoda; Insecta; Psocodea; Philopteridae.
GAAAAACUUAAUUGUGUGGCGGCCUAGCAACUAUAUAGAGGGGUAUGUUUUAUAAAUCGAGAUUACACGUAUAUCUUAUCUAGGUUUGAAAUACAAUCAUUUUACACACCGCCGUCGGAAGAGCAAAUUGAAAUUUUUACUCUAUUUCCUUAAAUAGGAAUUAAGUCAGGUCAACGUGUAGAUAAUACUUAGGUCAAAAUGUAUCUCAAUAAUACAAUUAUGUCCUUCUCCUUUAUCUUGAAAUAGAUUAAGGUAAUUGAAUUUAUAAGUAAGGUCCCUUUAAAAUG